CUUCAUGAUUUGAGACCUUUCUGCUGCUCUUGACUAUAGAAUAUCUGCGGAGAAAUGGGGUGAGACUGUUUUAUGAGCGUUAUUGCAAAUAUAGAUUAGCACAGUUAGAAGUGAGAUUCUGUGUCAUCUAGUAGCCAUGCUAGUUCCGCAGUAGAAAGGAGGACAGAAUUACAAGCUGCUCUCUUACUCAUUUCUGCACGUCUUCAUGAGCUGGUGGCAGUGAUGUGGAUGGCAUCUCUUUGUUAAAUACACUUUGUUGGCCUUGUUCCCCUCCAUCUCCCAGGGGAGCCCGAACCAGAUGUCAGUAAAGUUCUCGCAAAUCUAAUAUGGGAUAGCGGCGGUCAGAGGUUGGCUAAGUAUGCCCCCAGUGUCCUCCACCCAGUCACUGACCAAGGCUUGAGAGGACAGGCAAGAAGACUGCUUUUACUCCCAACAUCCAAGAAAAAAGACCCUUUGAGUCACCGCAUGUUUUCAAAAGCUUGCAGUCAGGGUGGACCGCAGCAUUUCUAAGACUGUUUUAGAUGGCCCCUCCGUUCUCUGGUACUUUGGGUUAUGUACCCUUUCUCCCAUCUUCUGUGCAUGUCCUUUUUUUUCCAGGCAAUGCCCUGUGCAUUUUUACUUGGUUUUGU
This 629-nucleotide long non-coding RNA is filed under the name Equus caballus (horse). RNAcentral's name for it is "lncRNA (ENSECAG00000055105.1)". Lineage: Eukaryota; Metazoa; Chordata; Mammalia; Perissodactyla; Equidae. The record is from RNAcentral.